AUUGAACGCUGGCGGCAGGCGUAACACAUGCAAGUCGAGCGGAAACGAGUUAUCUGAACUUUCGGGGAACGAUAACGGCGUCGAGCGGCGGACGGGUGAGUAAUGCCUAGGAAAUUGCCCUGAUGUGGAGGAUAACCAUUGGAAACGAUGGCUAAUACCGCAUGAUGCCUACGGGCCAAAGAGGGGGACCUUCGGGCCUCUCGCGUCAGGAUAUGCCUAGGUGGGAUUAGCUAGUUGGUGAGGUAAGGGCUCACCAAGGCGACGAUCCCUAGCUGGUCUGAGAGGAUGAUCAGCCACACUGGAACUGAGACACGGUCCAGACUCCUACGGGAGGCAGCAGUGGGGAAUAUUGCACAAUGGGCGCAAGCCUGAUGCGGCCAUGCCGCGUGUAUGAAGAAGGCCUUCGGGUUGUAAAGUACUUUCAGUCGUGAGGAAGGUAGUGUAGUUAAUAGCUGCAUUAUUUGACGUUAGCGACAGAAGAAGCACCGGCUAACUCCGUGCCAGCAGCCGCGGUAAUACGGGGGGUGCGAGCGUUAAUCGGAAUUACUGGGCGUAAAGCGCAUGCAGGUGGUUUGUUAAGUCAGAUGUGAAAGCCCGGGGCUCAACCUCGGAAUAGCAUUUGAAACUGGCAGACUAGAGUACUGUAGAGGGGGGUAGAAUUUCAGGUGUAGCGGUGAAAUGCGUAGAGAUCUGAAGGAAUACCGGUGGCGAAGGCGGCCCCCUGGACAGAUACUGACACUCAGAUGCGAAAGCGUGGGGAGCAAACAGG
This 769-nucleotide ribosomal RNA is filed under the name uncultured Pseudoalteromonadaceae bacterium. Its description in RNAcentral is "bacterial SSU rRNA". It matches the Rfam family "Bacterial small subunit ribosomal RNA", at positions 28 to 776 of the family's 1533-position model. The record is from RNAcentral. Lineage: Bacteria; Pseudomonadati; Pseudomonadota; Gammaproteobacteria; Alteromonadales; Pseudoalteromonadaceae.